UACAGAGGGGGCAAGCGUUAUUCGGAAUUAUUGGGCGUAAAGGGCGCGUAGGCGGCUUUGCAAGUGACGGGUGAAAUCCCUCGGCUUAACCGGGGAACUGCGUCUGAUACUGGAUGGCUUGAGUUCGGGAGAGGGAUGCGGAAUUCCAGGUGUAGCGGUGAAAUGCGUAGAGAUGUGGAGGAACACCGAUGGCGAAGGCAGCCUCCUGGGCCAGCACUGACGCUCAUGCACGAAAGCGUGGGGAGCAAACAGG
RNAcentral lists this ribosomal RNA (253 nucleotides) under uncultured bacterium. RNAcentral describes it as "partial 16S ribosomal RNA". It matches the Rfam family "Bacterial small subunit ribosomal RNA", at positions 524 to 776 of the family's 1533-position model. The record is from RNAcentral.